GAGCAUCCUUGCUUGUGUCCUCCCUUGUCCUGCAACAAGAGAGCGGUCAGGCAGGGUGAGACCAUCUCUAUGUCAGCAGCUAUGCUCUUACCCUGACAGAGUCGGGGUGGGCAUCAAGGACCACCUCGGGGAACAGACCCCUCCUCUGCCCUUGCCCAGCAUUGGUGACUGAAGCAACAGUGACGCCUAAUGGUUGGCAACAGAACUGCAGCUAUUGGAGGAAAGAGCUGUACGCCCCCAUCUCUUUUUUCUGUUGCUGGUCUCCCCCAGACUUUUAGGAGAAUGGAAGAGAGGAGAUUCCACACAAAAGCCCUGGACCUAACAUCCACACACUCACACGGAGCUCACAGACAUACUGAACCUGUACACACUGCAGAAGCUGCAGUGAGGUCAAACCCUCCCCCACCAAGUCCCCAACCUCCAGU
RNAcentral lists this long non-coding RNA (425 nucleotides) under Marmota monax (woodchuck). Lineage: Eukaryota; Metazoa; Chordata; Mammalia; Rodentia; Sciuridae. The record is from RNAcentral.